Molecule: long non-coding RNA, 219 nt
Organism: Sorex fumeus (smoky shrew)
Lineage: Eukaryota; Metazoa; Chordata; Mammalia; Eulipotyphla; Soricidae
Exons: 2
Source: RefSeq, a predicted model, not a curated record
AGGCUUAGAAAACAAAUGGGGAGUGAUGUGACAAGGCUCCCUCUCAGUUUUCUGUUUCUGUGGCAGAUGUGCGCCCUCCACCCAGGGGUUCCACCCACUUGCUAGGUCCGGUGUUAAGAAGUGUUUCCCGAUGUCUGUGGAGGAGCUCGGAGAGACUCUGAGGAACCAACCUCCUGCCCUGCAGGCCUGGACUCCUCCAAGAAGCCCUCCUGAAUUGAG